AAAACCCAAAGGACUUGGCGGUGCUUUAGACCCACCUAGAGGAGCCUGUUCUAGAACCGAUACCCCCCGUUCAACCUCACCCUCCCUUGUUUUACCCGCCUAUAUACCGCCGUCGUCAGCUUACCCCGUGAGGGACAAACAGUAAGCAAAAUUGGCACACCCCAAAACGUCAGGUCGAGGUGUAGCGUAUGAGAGGGGAAGAAAUGGGCUACAUUCGUUAGUCUAACGAACUUACGAAAACCAUAAUGAAACCGUAUGGUCAAAGGAGGAUUUAGCAGUAAGCGGAGAGUAAAGCGCUCCACUGAAACAGGCCCUGAAGCGCGCACACACCGCCCGUCACCCUCUGAAGU
This 350-nucleotide ribosomal RNA is filed under the name Fistularia commersonii (bluespotted cornetfish). RNAcentral describes it as "partial 12S ribosomal RNA". It matches the Rfam family "Archaeal small subunit ribosomal RNA", at positions 851 to 1367 of the family's 1478-position model. Lineage: Eukaryota; Metazoa; Chordata; Actinopteri; Syngnathiformes; Fistulariidae. The record is from RNAcentral.